GGUCCCGCUGUGCCCCCCCCCUCCAUAGGAGCCCCGCCCCCUCCCAACGGCUCCGCCUACAGAGUUCAGAGAGGGGCGGGGCCUGCACCUCCACUUGGGAGCCCCCCCAUCUGUUCGUCCGAGGAGGACCAGGAGGAUGCCAGCACCGUAGAGGACCAGGGUAAAAACUGAGCUAAAGCUUUCAGGUUGAUCCAGCAGGGAGUUGUAUUGUUCCAUGUGGUGUUAUUCCUGUUUCAGCAGAGUACACAGAGGACUACAUCUACAUCACUCAAGAUCAGAACUACCAGACCUCAGGUGUUUACACUGCUGCUGAGCCCUCCAACAAGGACGAACAGGAAAGAGGAACUACUGAUUCGCCACCGAGACCAGAGA
Gasterosteus aculeatus aculeatus (three-spined stickleback) is the source of this 372-nucleotide long non-coding RNA. The record is from Ensembl. NCBI's taxonomy places the organism in Eukaryota, Metazoa, Chordata, Actinopteri, Perciformes, Gasterosteidae.